AUGCUCAGUAUCUUUUUGGCCAUACUAAAUGCAGUUCUCGACGGUGAACAUGUACAAGUAGUAGAAGUAGCAACUGGAAUGCUAAAUUCAGUUAUCAGUGACUCGGCAUCCAGUUGCGUGAUCACCUCAGUUUUGUUUUAUUAUUUAGCAGUGUUCAGAGUUUCGUUAUUUAUAUUCUAUAUUUUCGGAAGCUAUUUGUCUAGGUUCAGUCCUGCUAUCAUCUUUGUCAGUCAUCAAUUUAUCAAUUCAUCAUUUACUUUUGCAUAUUUACAGUUUUCAGGUUCUCAUUAUAUCAGUCAAAUCACUCCCUCUUAUUUCUUCAUUUUCUCAUUUUGUUAUUCAGUCUCCAAAAUGAACAUGAGCCUGAACUUGAGAGACAGGCAAUUGAUUUAUUCAUUUAGUUGCAAUGUCCAAAAUGAAGAACUCCUGGUCAUCUUCAGUUUACUUCUCCCAUUUUGUUGUGUCUUUAGUAUUCAGUCCAAAGCUAAUCAUUCGUUUGUUCUUCAGUCCUUAUGUUUGCAUCACUCUUUAAGUGAUUCAUUUUUCAGUCUUGUCAUUCAUUCAUCUACCCUUUAG
This 576-nucleotide ribosomal RNA is filed under the name Triticum aestivum (bread wheat). RNAcentral describes it as "partial small subunit ribosomal RNA". Lineage: Eukaryota; Viridiplantae; Streptophyta; Magnoliopsida; Poales; Poaceae. The record is from RNAcentral.